This 229-nucleotide ribosomal RNA is filed under the name uncultured eukaryote. Its description in RNAcentral is "partial small subunit ribosomal RNA". It matches the Rfam family "Eukaryotic small subunit ribosomal RNA", at positions 1208 to 1456 of the family's 1831-position model. The record is from RNAcentral.
GGAAAACUUACCAGGUCCAGACAUAAUGAGGAUUGACAGAUUGAGAGCUCUUUCUUGAUUUUAUGGGUGGUGGUGCAUGGCCGUUCUUAGUUGGUGGAGUGAUUUGUCUGGUUAAUUCCGUUAACGAACGAGACCGCCGCCUGCUAAAUAGUUCCGUGAAUGAAUUUCAUUGACGAGAUCUUCUUAGAGGGACUUUUGGUGACUAACCAAAGGAAGUUGGGGGCAAUAA